ACCCUUCGGUAGUUCAUAACUGUGAUGGCUGACUGUUCAUACUGUGGUGACAUGUACCCCCUCAAACUCUGUUACAACCUUGGCACAUGACCCAUCUGGCA
RNAcentral lists this small nucleolar RNA (101 nucleotides) under Ursus americanus (American black bear). RNAcentral describes it as "Small nucleolar RNA U13". It matches the Rfam family "Small nucleolar RNA U13". Lineage: Eukaryota; Metazoa; Chordata; Mammalia; Carnivora; Ursidae. RNAcentral also lists the same sequence under 1 other name. The record is from Rfam by way of RNAcentral.